RNAcentral lists this ribosomal RNA (720 nucleotides) under uncultured bacterium. RNAcentral describes it as "bacterial SSU rRNA". It matches the Rfam family "Bacterial small subunit ribosomal RNA", at positions 56 to 804 of the family's 1533-position model. The record is from RNAcentral.
UGCAAGUCGAGCGAUUUACUUCGGUAAAGAGCGGCGGACGGGUGAGUAACGCGUGGGUAACCUGCCCUGUACACACGGAUAACAUACCGAAAGGUAUGCUAAUACGGGAUAAUGUACUUUUGUCGCAUGGCAAAAGUAUCAAAGCUCCGGCGGUACAGGAUGGACCCGCGUCUGAUUAGCUAGUUGGAGAGGUAAUGGCUCACCAAGGCGACGAUCAGUAGCCGACCUGAGAGGGUGAUCGGCCACACUGGAACUGAGACACGGUCCAGACUCCUACGGGAGGCAGCAGUGGGGAAUAUUGCACAAUGGGCGAAAGCCUGAUGCAGCAACGCCGCGUGAGCGAUGAAGGCCUUCGGGUCGUAAAGCUCUGUCCUCAGGGAAGAUAAUGACGGUACUUGAGGAGGAAGCCCCGGCUAACUACGUGCCAGCAGCCGCGGUAAUACGUAGGGGGCAAGCGUUAUCCGGAAUUACUGGGCGUAAAGGGUGCGUAGGCGGUUUCUUAAGUCAGGGGUGAAAGGCUACGGCUCAACCGUAGUAAGCCUCUGAAACUGGGAAACUUGAGUGUAGGAGAGGAAAGUGGAAUUCCCAGUGUAGCGGUGAAAUGCGUAGAUAUUGGGAGGAAUACCAGUGGCGAAGGCGGCUCUCUGGACUAUAACUGACACUGAUGCACGAAAGCGUGGGGAGCAAACAGGAUUAGGUACCCUGGUAGUCCACGCUGUA